ACGUGAUUUAUUUGAUUCAGAAUUUGAUACUAUGAAUUGGUUCUUCUUCUGCAUUUCAUUCACCCAAGUCCUUCAGCAGGGAAUUUAUCUAAAUGAAGCAAGCUUCUGUCUAGCGUACAUUCUCUUGAUUUUCCAGUAUACAAAGCUUAAAAUGUUUGGGAUCUCUUCUAAGGGUGGUGGUUAUGCCACGGUGUGGCCUAAAGCCUUUCCCUAGAAUGCACCUUUCAACCAGAAAUGAGGAGACUUCAACACCCUUUAGGCAAUUGCACUUCAGCCAAAGCAAGAGUCUUGGUUUUUGUUUCAGGCUUGCAGAUGGGUUUAAAGAGAAGAAAUGGGCAGCCAAAGUGGGUGCUCCAUUGAGUGAUGCAAUUUUUCAUGAAGUUGACCGAAGUGCAAGUAUUCCUCUGUUUGAUUUGGGUGAUAUUAGGGCAGCAAUUCUGAAGCAUUGUUUGGUUAAGAACCUUUGGAAGUCUAUGAACUAUGUUGUGAGGGAUGUUGUUGUGGUUGCUAGCCUAGUGUCUCUGGCACUUGAACUUGACUAUUGGGUUGUUUGGCUUUUCUACUUGUGUGCUUAGAGCACCAUGUUCUUAGAUCUCUUUGUUCUCGGCCAUGAUUGUGGUCAUGGAAGUUUCUCUCAUAACUCAAAGGUGAAUAGCAUCAUUGGUCAUGUUCUUCAUUCUUCAGUCCUCGUCCUAUUCCAUGCAUGGAGAAUAGGUCACCAAACCCAUCAUCAGAAGAUUCAGAACCAUGGAUUUAUCGAAAAUGAUGAGUUUUGGCAUCCAGUUUGAUUUGGAAUAUGUAUUUACAGCAGAGGAGCUGGAAACCAAGCUUUGACAUAUUAAAAAGCAAUGUGGCCAACCUACCUGUGAUGAUGGUAUUGAUGAGAAUUGAAUGAUCAUGAAAGGAUGCUGCAGAUUAGGCAGAUGCUAGCUAUAUGCCUUGUGCUUAUUAGAUUUUUAUAAGUUAAUUGUUUAUUAGAGCAUUGUCUAUCUUAUAUUAACACAUGGAUGUUCUUAGUUGAAGAUUUAUGAAAGAUAUCAGUAAAAGUGCUCAAGUUCAUUAGUCUGACUUGUAAAGUUGGUGUUGUACAUUGUUUUUAUAUUGUCCAGGAUGGCAAAACAUUUGUCUUGA
Molecule: long non-coding RNA, 1131 nt
Organism: Argentina anserina (silverweed cinquefoil)
Lineage: Eukaryota; Viridiplantae; Streptophyta; Magnoliopsida; Rosales; Rosaceae
Exons: 5
Source: RefSeq, a predicted model, not a curated record